Molecule: long non-coding RNA, 1097 nt
Filed under: Homo sapiens (human)
Lineage: Eukaryota; Metazoa; Chordata; Mammalia; Primates; Hominidae
Description: HSALNT0012020
Source: RNAcentral
AUUCUCUCUAAUCUUACUUUUUUUUCCUUUCUCCAAGGAUUAAAACAAAUAAUAACAACAACAGCAACAACAACAAAAAGACUUUAUUCUCUUUGUAUGAAGAUGGCUACACUGUCAGACCAAAGUCUGUUCCUCAAGAUUGCGCCUGCCAAAGUGGGCUGACUGCGUGGAAUCUGAACUCUCUCCCUUGUCAAAGGCAUUCAGUGAAGUGGCCAAUUGUACCCUGUGGAGAUGGACCCUGAGUUCAAAUCCUGCUCUGCCACUUCCUUGUUUAUGAACUCAAGAGCAGCUCACUUCCAAUGACUGGUUGACGCAGGGCCGACCCUCUUGCCUGGAUUCUGGACACAUCUCUGAAGGACCGAGAGUUAGGUUGAAGGCAGUUUUGCAAAGGCUUUGAAGUAUUCCUCAUGAAAGAGUAUUAAAAGGACGGUGAAACAACAACAAUGAAAAUCUCCAAAGGGUUGGCCAAGAAGGGAGAAUGAUUUGGUUAAUCCUUUCCCCUGGACACAUGUUCCCUAAUGUUCCCCUGCAGCCUGAUGGGAAUCUUCAUGAAAACAUUAUGAAAGACUCAAAAAGAAACUCAAGACACUGUGAUCAAGAGAACACAGACUGUUUAAGUUCAACCACAGACCAUAUGAUUAGUUGAUAUGCUACCAAGUAUCACUAAUAUGUUAUUUUGUUAUUAACAAGAAAUGUUAUAUAACAAGAAACAUGUUAUUUUGAAAUGGAGGGUGCCAGGAUUAUCUUUGCCACUCUUGUACUUACCUAACAAAGAGUGAAUGACCAAAAGAAUGUUUAUGAAUGACUAAAUGAAUGAAUGUUAAUAUUAGUAGCUAACCACAGAGCCCACCCUAAUGUAUCAGUCAGAGAUUAUGGUGAAAGAAAGGAAUGGUUACAAAAGCAGUAUCCAAGAAUCUGGCAUUGUCACUAGAGUACAUAUCUGGCUAAAGAAGGAACAAAUCAUAGUACUUGUCAUGUCUAGUACUUCUAACAAAUUGAGAGAAAACCCCAUGAUUCCAUGAAGAUCAAAAACUGGUGCUGAAAGAUUCUAGAUAAAAGCAUCACUGCUUCAUAGAAACUAAACAAACAAAUCCUGG